RNAcentral lists this ribosomal RNA (492 nucleotides) under uncultured bacterium. RNAcentral describes it as "partial 16S ribosomal RNA". It matches the Rfam family "Bacterial small subunit ribosomal RNA", at positions 29 to 507 of the family's 1533-position model. The record is from RNAcentral.
AGUGAACGCUGGCGGUAGGCCUAACACAUGCAAGUCGAACGGCAGCACAGUAAGAGCUUGCUCUUACGGGUGGCGAGUGGCGGACGGGUGAGGAAUACAUCGGAAUCUACUUUUUCGUGGGGGAUAACGUAGGGAAACUUACGCUAAUACCGCAUACGACCUACGGGUGAAAGCAGGGGAUCUUCGGACCUUGCGCGAUUGAAUGAGCCGAUAUCGGUUUAGCUAGUUGGCGGGGUAAAGGCCCACCAAGGCGACGAUCCGUAGCUGGUCUGAGAGGAUGAUCAGCCACACUGGAACUGAGACACGGUCCAGACUCCUACGGGAGGCAGCAGUGGGGAAUAUUGGACAAUGGGCGCAAGCCUGAUCCAGCCAUACCGCGUGGGUGAAGAAGGCCUUCGGGUUGUAAAGCCCUUUUGUUGGGAAAGAAAAGCAGCAGGUUAAUACCCCGCUGUUCUGACGGUACCCAAAGAAUAAGCACCGGCUAACUUCGUG